This 777-nucleotide ribosomal RNA is filed under the name uncultured Neocallimastigales. Its description in RNAcentral is "partial large subunit ribosomal RNA". It matches the Rfam family "Eukaryotic large subunit ribosomal RNA", at positions 23 to 648 of the family's 3401-position model. The record is from RNAcentral. Lineage: Eukaryota; Fungi; Neocallimastigomycota; Neocallimastigomycetes; Neocallimastigales.
GAGACUCUGUGCGCGUGCAUAUCAAUAAGCGGAGGAAAAGAAACUAACAAGGAUUCCCCUAGUAACGGCGAGUGAAGCGGGAAGAGCUCAAAUUUGAAAUCUUAAAGGGUUUCCCUUUACGAAUUGUAGUUUAAAGAAGUGUUUUCUGUUGGUAGUUUCGGUAAAAGUUCUUUGGAAUAGGACAUCAUAGAGGGUGAGAAUCCCGUAUUUGACCGUUACUUUCCAGCUGUGUGAUACACUUUCAAAGAGUCGGAUUGUUUGGGAAUGCAGUCCAAAAUGGGUGGUAAAUUUCAUCUAAAGCUAAAUAUUGGCGAGAGACCGAUAGCGAACAAGUACCGUGAGGGAAAGAUGAAAAGAACUUUGAAAAGAGAGUUAAACAGUACGUGAAAUUGUCAAAAGGGAAGCGUUUGACACCAGUGUUGUUUUCUCGAAAAUCAAUUAAAAAGAGUUGGAUUUUGUAUUGUUAAGACCUUAUCAGCUUACUGUACUUUUUUCUUGCUCUUUCUAAUGCACUUUUCGUUUAACAAGUCAACAUCAAUUUCUUUUGUUGUAAAAGGGUCAUUGGAAGGUGGCUUUCACUUCGGUGAAAGUGUUUAUAGCCUUUGGCUUCUACAAUCGGAGGGAUUGAGGUCUGCAGCGUAGAUCCUUCGGGGUUAGAUACGUAGAUGCUAAGUUAUAGUUUUUUAUAGACAACUUGUUGACUAUGAUUAAUCAUGUAGCUUACUCGUUUACGCUAUUUUACCUACGCUUAGGAUGUUGAUCUGUAGUGCGUGCGCC